GGCACGGGGGGGCCCCCGGGGGCCGGCAGAGGUGGCUCGGGGCCCGGCUGAGAAUGAGGGCGGGAAGGCGGCGUGAGGCGGCGGCCUCCGGGAGGGAGCUGGGCCGGAGCAGGAAAAUUGCCUGGAAGGAGUGGUUUCCUAAAGCUCUGGCAAACAAGAGGAGCCUUAUAAAGAGAACAGAGCCAGCUCUUUCACCCCAGUGAUUCCUCUGCAUGGCUGCAGCCCACCCCAUCCCAUCCCAUCCCAUCCCAGGCAGUGCUGGAGGAACCACAUCCCAUGGCUGGACAUCUCCUUCGUGCAGGGUGGUUUGAAGAUUUCUUGUUGGACUGCAUCCCACUGCUGAUGGAAAUUUCCUUUUCCACAGACAGAAAUCCCAAGCUUUGACACCAACCAACAGAAAAUUAGAGGUUUUUUCCUUGGGUUUUGUUAUUAUGCAGAUCCCUAAAUACUGACCUGGGCUUUCAUUAAAAUCAAAGCAAAACAAAAACCAAAACUUUGAUCUUAACUUCAAACACUGGAGCUGCAUUUGGGUGAUACACAUGGAAGCUUUUAUUUAUCCAGAUGUUCUCUUUCGUUACACUGAAACCGAGCAAAAACCACCCGGUGGAAACUCAGGUUUUUAUCAAGUGGCAGUGGAUAGAUCUCUGCAGUGAGGUGCAGGGGGAAGUGCAGCAGGAGGAGCCAGGCGUCACCCCAGGGAAUGUGAAGCAUCGCAGAUAUGUAGGAGUGGCCAUGCCCUCGGAUCCCUUCUGGCUGAUGAUUUUCUCUGGAAACAGCCCGUCCCAGAGGAAGCCUGUUCUCUGCAGCCUGCUCUGGCUUACCAAGCUGGAGCAAAACGUGUGACCUGCUGCAGCACAUUCUCAAAAUGUAGGUUUGGUUUCCAAGUACCAAGUGCAGGUAAGGAAAACUUGGAAGGGAUCUGUGCAAGGUGGGACCAAAAAAACCCCAAAAGAUACAUGUCUUUAGCCUUUAUACGUUAGCAGCUCUCAACAUCAGUAGAAAAUCAUCCUAAUAAAGCAAGCACAAUUUACAUUUUCACCAUGAUUUUUUUCCUAUGUGUUCAUCAAAGUGCUUUUGUGUAAGUGCUGUAUCUUUCAAAUCAUAGAAGCCAUGGAAGAAAUUAAAAUUUUCC
Calypte anna (Anna's hummingbird) is the source of this 1132-nucleotide long non-coding RNA. RefSeq lists it as uncharacterized. NCBI's taxonomy places the organism in Eukaryota, Metazoa, Chordata, Aves, Apodiformes, Trochilidae. The transcript has 3 exons. The record is from RefSeq and is a predicted model, not a curated record.